This 2189-nucleotide ribosomal RNA is filed under the name marine metagenome. RNAcentral's name for it is "bacterial LSU rRNA". It matches the Rfam family "Bacterial large subunit ribosomal RNA", at positions 331 to 2593 of the family's 2925-position model. The record is from RNAcentral.
AAACGAAACAGCUGAAACCUGUACCAUAGAUGGUGAAAGUCCAGUCGUUGAAUCACUACCAACUCCAGCCGUUUGGCUCCCGAGUAGUAUGGGACACGUGAAAUCCCGUAUGAAUUUGCGAGGACCACCUCGUAAGGCUAAAUACUCCUAGGUCACCGAUAGCGAAUAGUACCGCGAGGGAAAGGUGAAAAGAACCCCUUUACGGGGAGUGAAAUAGAACAUGAAACCGUAUGCUUACAAUUUGUGGGAGGAUGAACACAUCUGACCGCAUGCCUGUUGAAGAAUGAGCUGGCGACUUAGAAGAAGUGGCAGGUUAAGAUUUUCCAUCGAAGCCAAAGCGAAAGCAUGUCUGAUAAGGGCUCUCGUCCCUUCUUCUAGACCCGAACCCAGGUGAUCUAACCAUGACCAGAAUGAAGCUUUGGUGAUACGAAGUGGAGGUUCGAACCGACCGAUGUUGAAAAAUCGACGGAUGAGUUGUGGUUAGGGGUGAAAUGCCAAUCGAACUUGGAGCUAGCUGGUUCUCCUCGAAAUGCGUUGAGGCGCAGCGGUUGAUUAUGGACUUCUAGGGGGUAAAGCGCUGUCUCGGUGCGGGCUGCGAAAGCGGUACCAAUCUGUUGCAAACUCGGAAUACCUAGAAUGUUUUCAAUCAGCCAGUGAGACUGCGGGGGAUAAGCUCCGUAGUCAAAAGGGAAACAGCCCAGACCACCAGCUAAGGCUCCUAAAUAAAAGCUAAGUGGCAAAGGAGGUGAAAAUGCAGUGACAAUCAGGAGGUUUGCCUAGAAGCAGCCAUCCUCUAAGGAGUGCGUAAUAGCUCACUGAUCAAGCGUUUUUGCGCCGAAAAUGACCGGAACUAAGUUUUUUGCCGAAGCUGUGGCUACAUCACAUAGAUGAUGUAGGGUAGAGGAGCGUUCCGUCCAGGGGGAAGCCAAGCGCGUAAGCCGCGGUCGACAGGACGGAAGUGAGAAUGUCAGAUUGAGUAACGUAAACAUUGGUGAGAAUCCAAUGCCCCGAAAACUCAAGGGUUCCUGCGCAAGGCUCGUCCGCGCAGGGUCAGUCAGGACCUAAGGUGAGGCCGAAAGGCGUAAUUGAUGGCAAGAAGGUUUAUAUUCCUUCACUAGUCUAGGCUUAGUCCUGAGGGACGAACAAAUAACACUCGGCACAAUGGCCUACCUUGGCAGGUAGGAUCAACCCAUCUGUGUCUGCUGCUAUUUUUUCCAAGAAAAGCUCAUUCGACUUCGAGUCUAGACUACCUGUACCGUAAACCGACACAGGUGAGUGGGUUGAAUAAACUAAGGGGAGCGAGAUAACUCUCUCUAAGGAACUCGGCAAAUUGGCUCUGUACCUUCGGAAGAAAGAGUGCCCCUCAGGGGGCCGCAGUGAAGAGAUCCAGGCGACUGUUUACCAAAAACACAGGUCUCCGCAAAGUCGCAAGACGAAGUAUGGGGGCUGACACCUGCCCAGUGCCAGAAGGUUAAAGAAGUUGGUCAAUCUUUGAUGAAGCUAACAACUGAAGCCCUGGUGAACGGCGGCAGUAACUAUAACUGUCCUAAGGUAGCGAAAUUCCUUGUCGGGUAAGUUCCGACCCGCACGAAAGGUGUAACGAUCUGGAUACUGUCUCAGAGAGAGACUCGGUGAAAUAAAACUAUCUGUGAAGAUGCGGAUUACCUGCACACGGACAGAAAGACCCUAUGAAGCUUUACUGUAACCUGGAAUUGCUCUCAAGCUUAUCUUGCGCAGCUUAGGUGGGAGGCUAUGAACCUUUUCUUCCGGGAAGAGGGGAGCCAUCAGUGAGAUACCACUCUUGGUAAGCUAGAGCGCUCAGUCUUCACCGUUAUCCGGUAAGACGACAGUUUCAGGCGGGCAGUUUGACUGGGGCAGUCACCUCCCAAAAGGUAAUGGAGGUGCACAAAGGUUCCCUCAGGUUGGACGGAAAUCAACCAUAGAGUGUAAAAGCAUAAGGGAGCUUGACUGCGAGACUGACAUGUCAAGCAGAGACGAAAGUCGGUUUUAGUGAUCCGACGGUGCUGCGUGGAAAGGCCGUCGCUCAACGGAUAAAAGUUACUCUAGGGAUAACAGGCUAAUCUCCCCCAAGAGUUCACAUCGACGGGGAGGUUUGGCACCUCGAUGUCGGCUCGUCGCAUCCUGGAGCGGAAGUACGUUCCAAGGGUUGGGCUGUUCGCCCAUAGAAA